CUUCUUGAACUGUGGUGCCCAGAACUGGACACAGUACUCCAGGUGAGGUCUGACCAGAGCAGAAUACAGUGGCACUAUAUUCUGCUCUGGUCAGACCUCACCUGGAGUACUGUGUCCAGUUCUGGGCACCACAGUUCAAGAAGGACA
Podarcis lilfordi (Lilford's wall lizard) is the source of this 147-nucleotide non-coding RNA. NCBI's taxonomy places the organism in Eukaryota, Metazoa, Chordata, Lepidosauria, Squamata, Lacertidae. The record is from the annotation of a GenBank genome assembly.